UUCAACUCAUCAACCCUGUGAACAUACCUAAACGUUGCUUCGGCGGGAAUAGACGGCCCCGUGAAACGGGCCGCCCCCGCCAGAGGACCCUUAACUCUGUUUCUAUAAUGUUUCUUCUGAGUAAAACAAGCAAAUAAAUUAAAACUUUCAACAACGGAUCUCUUGGCUCUGGCAUCGAUGAAGAACGCAGCGAAAUGCGAUAAGUAAUGUGAAUUGCAGAAUUCAGUGAAUCAUCGAAUCUUUGAACGCACAUUGCGCCCGCCAGUAUUCUGGCGGGCAUGCCUGUUCGAGCGUCAUUACAACCCUCAGGCCCCCGGGCCUGGCGUUGGGGAUCGGCGGAGCCUCUCUGUGGGCACACGCCGUCCCCCAAAUACAGUGGCGGUCCCGCCGCAGCUUCCAUCGCGUAGUAGCUAACACCUCGCGACUGGAGAGCGGCGCGGCCACGCCGUAAAACACCCAACUUUUCUGAAGUUGACCUCGAAUCAGGUAGGAAA
Molecule: ribosomal RNA, 494 nt
Rfam family: 5.8S ribosomal RNA (bases 143-296)